This is a long non-coding RNA of Talpa occidentalis (Iberian mole), 1622 nucleotides long. RefSeq lists it as uncharacterized. NCBI's taxonomy places the organism in Eukaryota, Metazoa, Chordata, Mammalia, Eulipotyphla, Talpidae. The transcript has 7 exons. The record is from RefSeq and is a predicted model, not a curated record.
CCCGCUUGCAUAAUUGCGCGGUAUAAAUAGCCGGCGGGCGGGCUGCUGGCGCGCUGGCGGGUACCGCGGGCGUGCACGCUUCACCCCGGAGCCGUCCUCUCCCGGGGCAUUUUCCCUUUCAGCUGCAGAACUGGGAUUUGAAAUGGCAGCGAUAAAAGAAAGGCUUUUGUCUCUGCCUGCCUCCUCCCUGGAGUUAACGUCCUAAGAAUGAAACGCUGCCGUCGCUGCUUCCAGAGGUGCAUCCCUCCAGGUGCCAGAAGCCCCCGGUCCACGCGGAGGCCCCCGGGGCCCGGGUGCGUGCGCGCCGUGCAGGGCGGCGAGCGUCUUGGCUGGUAGAGCGCGGAGGACCUUGGAGGCUCGGUGGAAAAGCUCGUGCACCCAGAGUCAGUUUAGCCGUUCUCGAGUUCUGGAACUCUUCUUGGGAGCCUCGCUAGGUCCAAAGCCGAGAAAUUCUGAAAACGUACUCUUUCCAACUGUAUUUCGCGACUAGGUGGUCAUUUCACAGAUGGAAGUCUGCAGAGGAGUCUCACCAUCCUCCCACCCUUCUCUUAAACGUCAGACUUCAACUGAAUGUCUUAAAAUGAAAUAACCAGUUUUUCACAAAAGGAUUUCGGGAGUGGGAAAGUCUGUCUGCACACAUAUUCCAAGUCUACUUUGGGCACGUUAGCUUGAAGAAGACAAGCAGUUUGCAAGUAAAGGAAGGGUCGUUGAAAGCAGAUGGCAGGAAGCUGGUGAUGGCCUGCAGGAUGAGGAAAUGCAGGUUUGUGAGUUGACUUAACUGACGUAGACUGGUCCCUGGCUCUGGGCUCCAAACUUCAGGUUAGAUUUCAUUGUUUCAUGUGUCUCUCCUUGGACCAGUGACCACCUGGAGCCUUUGAUUGGUUCAGUGUAUCUCAUUCUGGGACCCAAGUUACAAGGUAUUCUCCCUUUCCAGUCCAAUGUUAAGUCUGCCAUCUCAGCUAAAAUCUCAUACCAGGGCCUUCAGUCUCAGUACUGUCAGGCUGUUGCCAGCCACUGCAACAUGGGUUCGAUCACCAGCGAGGGAGCUAACCCACAUGGCACAACAGACCUCUCCUGUCUCGCCCACUGCUCCCUCAGGAGGAGAAGCAGUCAUUUGCCAGCCAAGGAGAGAGAGACCUUAGAAUGAAACCAAUUCUAUGGGUAGUUAAGGGAGUGGUAGAAGUUCCUCUUGAACCUGAAGUUCCUGACCUCACUUGAAAUAAUCCACAAGCCAAAAUGACACGUCUGAUAAAGGCGUGUUCUGAACAUCUUGGGAAAUCCUAUCCUUCAGUUGUAUAUUUGAAAUAGGUAUUACGGCAGGUCAACAAUUUACUUUCAAAUGACUUCGAAGGGGAAAAAAACACUUCCUUGUUCUGUAUAUUCACAAUUUUUAAAGCUUUGUGGUUAUUUCAAAAUUUAAAACAAAAGAAAACUCUGAUAUAGUACGUAAGAGAUGAUCAUCAUACAUGGUCUGAUGGGUGGGACCACUGGGGACAAGUAUCCAUUCUCCCCAAAGUAAACUUUGACUCUUGUGUUAACUCAUUAGGAGCAUCUGUCAAAGAGUUUGAGGAAAUCAAUUAAAAUAUUAUUCUAAAAUUUACAUAGAGAUAUAAUUCCAUAAA